AUGGACCAAUCCAUCCCUUUUUCCCGUGCAUAUGCAUCGGACUCGGAUGACGAUGGUCCUGAUGAAGAAGUUGAUGAGGAGGGGUUCACACCGAAGGAGGCCGAAGCAUUCAAGAAGGUAUUCGGGCGGGAUCACAAGACACCAUUGUUCAAGGAUCUUAGUCUCGCGGAUGAAGCCGUUGUGGAUGGUGGAAAAUGCAUAUCUCUUGGAGCUAGGCCAAGUUCUCACCGUGAUUUGGAAGACGGCAAGAACGGGAUAUAUCCCGGUUGUGAGUUUCAAUCCUUCUUGGAAUUGAAGAUGUGGCUCGACAACUACUCGGUUACACAUUAUCGUCCACAUAAAGUGGCCAACUCGGAUGUGAAUGUGCGUUACACGGUCAAAUGUGAAGUGCCAACAUGUCCAUGGAUUGUGCGUGCAAGGCCAUGGAAAGGAGGUCCCACUUGGCGCAUAGUGAGUUGUCUACCAACUCACAUGUGCCGGCACAAGAAUGCGGAUGGCAAGCUUGUGUACCAACAACACAGACAACUCACGUCCGAGUUCAUUGCUUACAAGCUGUCCAACCAAAUAUCCACACUUCCAACAAUGAGCAUCAAGAGUGUCAUUGACCUUGUGAAAGCCAUCUUUCAUUACAAGGUGAAGUACGACAAGGCAUGGAAGGCGAAGCAAGCCGCAUUCAAGAUGUUGUAUGGCAAUUGGGAGGAAGCAUACAACCGACUCCCUAGGUUGUUGUUAGCUAUGGCCACCACAAACCCAGGCAUGGUUCGCGUGGUUGAGCCUCAUGGGCACCAAACAUUGAUUCAUAACGGAAGGACCGUCUGA
This 819-nucleotide ribosomal RNA is filed under the name Triticum aestivum (bread wheat). RNAcentral describes it as "partial small subunit ribosomal RNA". Lineage: Eukaryota; Viridiplantae; Streptophyta; Magnoliopsida; Poales; Poaceae. The record is from RNAcentral.